AUAGGUUAAGUUAAUAAGGGCGCAUGGUGGAUGCCUUGGCACUAGAAGGCGAUGAAGGACGUGACUAACUACGAUAUGCCUCGGUUAGCUGUAAGUAAGCUUACCCGGGGGUUUCCGAAUGGGGCAACCCGAUCUUAAUGAUCAUCAUCUUUUUGAAUUCAUAGAUUAGAUGAAGCAAACGCUGUGAACUGAAACAUCUCAGUAGCAGUAGGAAAGUAAAGAAAUUUCGAUUCCGUCAGUAGCGGCGAGCGAACGCGGAAGAGCCCAAACCUGGAUGCUUGCAUCCAGGGGUUGUAGGACUGAUGUUGAGUUACAAAGGUAUAAGAUAGCAGAAACAGUUGGGAAGCUGUUCCAAAGAGGGUGACAGGCC
This 370-nucleotide ribosomal RNA is filed under the name Oenococcus oeni. RNAcentral's name for it is "bacterial LSU rRNA". It matches the Rfam family "Bacterial large subunit ribosomal RNA", at positions 1 to 373 of the family's 2925-position model. The record is from RNAcentral. Lineage: Bacteria; Bacillati; Bacillota; Bacilli; Lactobacillales; Lactobacillaceae.